RNAcentral lists this long non-coding RNA (630 nucleotides) under Olea europaea subsp. europaea. The record is from RNAcentral. Lineage: Eukaryota; Viridiplantae; Streptophyta; Magnoliopsida; Lamiales; Oleaceae.
CGCUAAUUGACAAAAUACAUCCACAUCAACGCAUACCAAACAUUGCACACUAGUUAUUACGUGUGUGCAUUACAAAAAACAUUCAAAGCACUAAAGUGGAUUAAGCUUUCCAAAUACAUACUUGUUAAUACAUACUAACGCCAUAAGUCAAGUACAGUCUCUAAGGUAGUGGAGGCGGAUCACGACCAAGCUUGUCAAACACCAAAGCAAGCAUGUAUGCGGUACUCGUUACAUUCAUAAAUAACUUAGCCAAACCAUCGUCGGAUCAAAAAGCUUUCAUGACUUACAUGAUGUCGUCCAUGUCUAGGUUCAUGGCUUCUAACUUCUCUAGAAUCAACUGCCAGUUGACAUGAUUCAGUGUAUCUAACGCAGUUUACAUUUCCAUAGCUUGAGCAAUUUUGGAGAUGAUUUGACAAUCUUCGAUAGGGCGAUAGUACUCUCAUCCACAGAUUGUGUACGUCGACGCUUGACUUUGUUGGUCCCUUCUUCAACGGUACGCUUACGACCAAGAACUGGGCUAGGAUCCAUCUCCACAUUUUCCAUAUCUACCUCAUUCACAUUUUCGUCGGUUACUACAUAAAAUAUUUAGUAACUUGUCAGAAGUUUAUACAUGAAUACAAUGAAUGGAUC